This is a non-coding RNA of Triticum urartu, 174 nucleotides long. The record is from RefSeq and is a predicted model, not a curated record. NCBI's taxonomy places the organism in Eukaryota, Viridiplantae, Streptophyta, Magnoliopsida, Poales, Poaceae.
AAGGAAUUCAUAUUUACAAUGAAAAUUUGACCGGAUUUUUUUAUGUGCGAUUUAAAUAGACAUACAUUUUCACAAAUAAAUUGUCCAAGGUGAAUUAUUGCCAAUGUCUCUUCCCAAGAAUCAUGAUGGACAAAGUGACAAUUCAAAAGGAAUGGAUCCAACAUUAUGUUACUA